Lolium perenne is the source of this 487-nucleotide non-coding RNA. The record is from RefSeq and is a predicted model, not a curated record. Lineage: Eukaryota; Viridiplantae; Streptophyta; Magnoliopsida; Poales; Poaceae.
AGCAGACAGCAAACUAGAAAGCAUAGCUAGAUCAGCACCCACUAGAGAGAGUGUGAGAGACCAUAAGCAAGGAUGGGUCAGUCCGCCUCUAUUCGGCAGGGAGAGACAGAGUAUGUUCGCCUAUUAGCCAGAGCCGACGACCGAAGCAGGAACCAGCAGUUUGGCAAGUCAACCAAAGCCAAGAAUAAAUAUUACAAAAGAUCAACCAAGGACGAUCUUGUUCUGAGGGCAACGCUGGAAGCUAUCACAAGAAUGGGAUAAAUCUGCAAAUCUAAAGCAAAAAGAUGUCAUAUUUUCUCCCUUGGUAUUGUAGGCGUCAAUCCUGAAUCCACAAAAGCUUCAGAAUUAGAUCGUGCUCUGUAUCUUCGCAAAUAUAUCGAUUGAAGGCGUGGAGGUAUCUUAUGAGAAUUUCAUACAUGAGUUAUUGCUCGGCUAGGGAACUCUGUAUUGCUACUUGUCUCUGUAAUAUACAAGAGGCUACAGCUUA